RNAcentral lists this long non-coding RNA (563 nucleotides) under Bos indicus x Bos taurus (hybrid cattle). RNAcentral's name for it is "lncRNA (ENSBIXG00000023088.1)". The record is from RNAcentral. Lineage: Eukaryota; Metazoa; Chordata; Mammalia; Artiodactyla; Bovidae.
CUCCCUUCCUCACCCACCCUGGGUCAUUCAUUUUCCCAGACCUUGGCUUACCCUAUCUCCUUGCCUGAAUAUCCUCAGCAAAUCCUGCCAGCUCUUCCAGGCCCAGCUCCACUCCUCCCUUCUCCCCAGUCCGAGUGGUGCUGAGGAAGCACUGCAGGGUGGAUGGAUGUUUGGAUGUUAUCUGAGAAGCAUCUGCUUUGCAGAACCUCCCAGGGAAGGGGAGGGACUCCUGAAGAUAUUGAUUUCACAAUUAACCCUCAGAGAAGGAGUCUCUUUACAACCUCUUUCCUGGAGACUAGACUCACUGUUGAUUGCAUCACUUACAGAAACCCUGUCAAAGUGAGGAAGGCUCCUUCCAUCCCCCAGAUUCCAGGGAAUCAUCCCACUCCCGAGCAGAUUCACCCGAAAUAUGAAAGAAGCAGGAGAUAUAACCUAUAACAAGGAGAAAAACAAGAAAUUCCCUUUUUGUUUUGUCUGGAGGAUAUGUGUCCAGCUAUGGCUCCUGGAUCUAAGGGGAGGAAGUAAGUUGGUAAGGGAAUAUCUCUGUGUUUAGUGUGCAUAUU